RNAcentral lists this ribosomal RNA (601 nucleotides) under Naganishia diffluens. Its description in RNAcentral is "eukaryotic LSU rRNA". The stretch from base 179 to 332 matches the Rfam family "5.8S ribosomal RNA". The record is from RNAcentral. Lineage: Eukaryota; Fungi; Basidiomycota; Tremellomycetes; Filobasidiales; Filobasidiaceae.
GGUGACCUGCGGAAGGAUCAUUAAUGAUUAACUGUCUGUCGAGCUUGCUCACAGACUUAUCAUAUCCAUAACACCUGUGCACUUGUCGGAUGGCUUAGUGAAGACCGCAAGGUUGGAUCUAUCCAUCUACUUUACAUAACAAUCUAGUAACAAAUGUAGUCUUAUUAUAACAUAAUAAAACUUUCAACAACGGAUCUCUUGGCUCUCGCAUCGAUGAAGAACGCAGCGAAAUGCGAUAAGUAAUGUGAAUUGCAGAAUUCAGUGAAUCAUCGAAUCUUUGAACGCACCUUGCGCUCCCUGGUAUUCCGGGGAGCAUGCCUGUUUGAGUGUCAUGAAAACCCUCAACCUUAGAUUGGUUAACACCUUUCUUUGGCUUGGAUUUGGACGUUUGCCGAUGAUAAGUCGGCUCGUCUUAAAAGUAAUAGCUGGAUCUGUCUCGCGACAUGGUUUGACUUGGCGUAAUAAGUAUUUCGCUAAGGACAUCUUCGGAUGGCCGCGUUGCAAGACUAAAGACCGCUUUCUAAUCCAUUGAUCUUCGGAUUAAUAUUCUUGACAUCUGGCCUCAAAUCAGGUAGGACUACCCGCUGAACUUAAGCAUAUC